UACGGAGGGUGCAAGCGUUAUCCGGAUUCACUGGGUUUAAAGGGUGCGUAGGUGGGCUAGUAAGUCAGUGGUGAAAUCUCCGGGCUUAACCCGGAAACUGCCAUUGAUACUAUUAGUCUUGAAUACCAUGGAGGUGAGCGGAAUAUGUCAUGUAGCGGUGAAAUGCUUAGAUAUGACAUAGAACACCAAUUGCGAAGGCAGCUCGCUACGCGGUUAUUGACGCUGAGGCACGAAAGCGUGGGGAUCAAACAGG
This 253-nucleotide ribosomal RNA is filed under the name uncultured bacterium. Its description in RNAcentral is "partial 16S ribosomal RNA". It matches the Rfam family "Bacterial small subunit ribosomal RNA", at positions 524 to 776 of the family's 1533-position model. The record is from RNAcentral.